GACGAACGCUGGCGGCGUGCUUAACACAUGCAAGUCGAACGGUGACCUCGGAGCUUGCUCCGGGCGAUCAGUGGCGAACGGGUGAGUAACACGUGACCAACCUGCCCCUAGCUCUGGGAUAACCCCGGGAAACCGGAGCUAAUACCGGAUACGAGACCGAGCGGCAUCACACGGUCUGGAAAGUUUUUCGGCUAGGGAGUGGGGUCGCGGCCUAUCAGCUUGUUGGUGGGGUAACGGCCCACCAAGGCGACGACGGGUAGCCGGCCUGAGAGGGCGACCGGCCACACUGGGACUGAGACACGGCCCAGACUCCUACGGGAGGCAGCAGUGGGGAAUAUUGCGCAAUGGGCGAAAGCCUGACGCAGCGACGCCGCGUGAGGGAAUGAAGGCC
This 391-nucleotide ribosomal RNA is filed under the name uncultured bacterium. Its description in RNAcentral is "bacterial SSU rRNA". It matches the Rfam family "Bacterial small subunit ribosomal RNA", at positions 28 to 416 of the family's 1533-position model. The record is from RNAcentral.